CCAUACCUUCGAUAUAGACAGGAACAGAUCUAUUGAUUUUAAGCAAGACCAUCCGAGCGGCAGCAUGACGCGCGCCGAGAUCUGGGACUUGGUCGAUUCGACCUACCCUGAGUUGUCCGGCAACCGUGUCCGCCGUCCCUUCGAUACAGACAGAAACAGAUCUAUUGAUUUUAAGCAAGACUAUCCGAGCGGCAGCACGUCGCUCCCCGAGGCCUUUGUCUUGUUCGACCUACCCUGAGUUGUCCGCCAACCGUGUCCGCCGUCCCUUCGUUAUAGACAGAAACAGAUCUAUUGAUUUUAAGAAACGCCUAGAUUACGGUGCAGUCUCUUCCGAACGCGUCGCUGGCCCCUGAUCAUUCGUUAACCGUUGGUAGACCGAACCUGCCGGCCAAACAUUUUUUUGGUUUUCAAAAUUCAAAAACAAUUUUUUGGUUUUCAUCAAAAUGUGGUUCGUCCACAUUUUGAUGCCCAAGAGCAACAGCCAAGCUACUCCAGUCAGAACGAUCAAUUAAAUCAUGCAGAGGAUCUUGCUCUGCUGACACAGUCAAUUAAUAAUACAAACUACCCUCAAUUGCUUCUGUCAUUUACUAUCAUUAACUAUAGGCAAUAUACGUGUAGUGUAAUAUACCUUCUUUGGUAGUAUAACAAGUAAGUUAUCUGGAGUUGGUAACUAUUUUUAGAUUUAUACCUUAGUGUGCUAGUUAUCCUUUGUAGAUUUAUUUCGUAGUAUAUCCUAUUUAAAUUUAUACCGCAGAUGACGAGAAUCGCAGAUCAUUGAGAAUUUUUUUUCGAAAUUUCAGUUUCGUCCCAUUUUUGCUGCUUACAAGCAACACUCUGAGUUUCAAGCUUGCUAAAUUUUUGGUCACGGUGUUGAACUGUUUGACAACCAACCAAUAUACGGUAGACAAUUCUUACGUUUUCGUAGACCGCUUGAAGAGUUACACCAAUGUUCAGGAUUUAACUAUGGCUUCAUUUGAUUUAGAGGAUUUGUUUACAAAUAUUCCUCUAAAUGAAAAUAUUGAUUUUUGCCUCAAUUCAUUGUUCAAAGAGAUUAGUGACAUUGU
This is a long non-coding RNA of Hyalella azteca, 1064 nucleotides long. RefSeq lists it as uncharacterized. NCBI's taxonomy places the organism in Eukaryota, Metazoa, Arthropoda, Malacostraca, Amphipoda, Hyalellidae. The transcript has 4 exons. The record is from RefSeq and is a predicted model, not a curated record.